AUUGAACGCUGGCGGAAUGCUUUACACAUGCAAGUCGAACGGCAGCACGGGUGCUUGCACCUGGUGGCGAGUGGCGAACGGGUGAGUAAUAUAUCGGAACGUAUCCAAUAAUGGGGGAUAACUAGCCGAGAGGUUAGCUAAUACCGCAUACGCCCUGAGGGGGGAAGCUGGGGAUCGUAAGACCUAGCGUUGAUGGAGCGGCCGAUAUCUGAUUAGCUAGUUGGUGGGGUAAGAGCCUACCAAGGCGACGAUCAGGAGCUGGUCUGAGAGGGCGUCCAGCCAAAAUGGAACUGAGACACGGUCCAGACUCCUACGGAGGGAAGCAGUGGGGGAUUUUGGACAAUGGGGGCAACCCUGAUCCAGCCAUUCCGCGUGAGUGAAGAAGGCCUUCGGGUUGUAGAGCUCUUUCGCAAGGGAAGAAAACUCGAUCUCUAAUAUAGGUUGAGGCUGACGGUACCUUGAUAAGAAGCACCGGCUAACUACGUGCCAGCAGCCGCUGUAA
RNAcentral lists this ribosomal RNA (502 nucleotides) under uncultured bacterium. Its description in RNAcentral is "partial 16S ribosomal RNA". It matches the Rfam family "Bacterial small subunit ribosomal RNA", at positions 30 to 523 of the family's 1533-position model. The record is from RNAcentral.